Molecule: long non-coding RNA, 3132 nt
Organism: Anopheles merus
Lineage: Eukaryota; Metazoa; Arthropoda; Insecta; Diptera; Culicidae
Exons: 4
Source: RefSeq, a predicted model, not a curated record
GUCCGGGUGCAACAGUUCGCAGUGAUACGUACAAUACAUAAGCAAUUGAUUUUGGCACACAUACAAAGGAGAGGUGUAGUUUAAACGCUUUCCCGCGUGUGUGAAUAAAAUAAGCAUUACAAACUACACGAACCGAUUGUGGUAAAACGCCCUUUCAAAUAGAUAUGAUCCAAUUGGAUCAAUUAAAAACAAUAAGAAAAAUAACACGGCAACUGCAGUGUAAAGCAGAAAAGAAAAGAGAAAAAGUGACAAAAACCAAACACUCAAUUGGCAAAAGAGCAGAAAAGAGGCACACGCUCACACACACACACACGCACGCACACACACACAUACGGAGCAGUGGUUUGCAGCAGAAGCAGAAGAUUGUUGGAAGAAGGUAGAAGUAGUCGUCAUUGGCUUGCCUGUUUCCAGCUGUUUCGUUACAGGAGAGAUGAUGUCGUUCUAGCUCUGGCUGAUCGGCGGCACUUUGUGGCAAACGGCGUUGUUUCUGUGGCAUCGGUGGCAUUCUGUGGGAUUGGCGGUUGCUAUGGCUGUUGUCUUAAAGCGUUAAGUUCGAUUAUUAGCUAACUACGAUUGCAGCGAGAUUCGGUGUCGGUGGUCCCCGUGUCCUUAGUACAGUCCAGGAAUGGUGGACGGUUGUAUGAGAUGAAUCGUAGCCGGCCGCCCAUUCACUAUCAGCGCUGCCAGCUCGUCCGAGUCCGAGUCCUGCAAGCUGCUCUCGAACUCCUCGUACAACCGGGCACCGGCACUGGCCCGUGCCUCCGAUCGAUUUACCGGUGAUUGGUUCUUGCUCGACAGGAACUUCUUGCGUCUCAGCGAUGCCGGCGAGACGCUGGCGUUCGAAUUCACGUCCUCCACCUUGCCCGUUCCCAGCAGCAGCUUGUGCUUGGGUGAAUCGGCCGGACUUGAGUGACGUGUGGAGCCUCCGGACCGUUUCGAGCGAAACUUACUCGGACCAACCCACGGGAAAAUCUAUUGGGCAAUUUGUUGAUGUCCGCGUGAUGCACAUUUGCAAGGAUUUGCAAGGAACAUUGCAUAACUUAAGGCGUUUUACUGUGCUUAGUUAUCCAAUUGGCAACUCCAUUGGGCCGCCUUUUCCAGUAAUAAUAAGAAAAUAUGUCACCGAAUUCACCACCAGACCCGACUCCAGCGACCGGGGUAUCGACAAUGGAGCUCGCCGGCUCACAGCAAAAAGGACUAACCUAACAAUAGAAACCGGUGUAACUCACCCAAAAACCGUCUAGCCAAAGCUAAUUUUUGGAAACGUCGGAGCGAUCCUUUAAAGCCGAUUUACAAUGGGCAAACAAACAGGGCUGAACCGACUUUCUGCCAUGUCUGACAAGCUAAUUAAUAUGGAAGGAAUGGUUCUUCCGGGGUGGCCUUUCACCCGUUUCGUGCUAUUGUUACUGCUUCGAAAGACAUACCACUACAUCGAAACAGAACUCAAGUUACAUGGUCCAAACGGCUCAGCUCAAAUUUCAAAACAAAGCCUUGUCCUCAAACCUGAAUGUCUUAGUAAUUAAUGAUUGGUGGUGUGGUGUGGAACUGUUCAAGUCAACUGUAUGUCAACCGUAAAGGAAACAUUUUACACACAGACAGGCGUAGAUCUAUACACACUGAAACACAUCGUCAGGAAGGACAACAGAGAGGGUGGUCCUUAGCAUGCACAGCAAGCCCAAAGCAGCUCUAAUUCACAUCAAGAAACACAUCAGGAUAUGAUAGAUACAGUGGGAAUUAAUGGUUCCAGCAGGAAUAUAAUGUGAUUUCGCAACACACGCACACACACACAUAGAACAGACAGUUUGAGGGACAGAAACAUCGAAGGGAGAUUUAAAACUUUUUUUGAAAAUGACAAGGGCCCGCAUCAAUACCGGUCGUUUGGUGGAGGGGGAAUUGUAAAGCACACCGAAACACCGGUGACAUGAAAACAACAUUCAGUUAUUAGCCGCAAAACUUACAUUCCUCUUUUUUUCGUGCCACUCUCUAUCAGCACCUAUGGCAGCGUCGCGUCCUGUUACAGCAGCUCGGACGAGGUUCUGUUAGCCUUCGAAGCUUCGCUUUGCCAAUGACGGAAGUCCCGCCAACAACAGGAGCAUGAUGAGUUCGUUUCUAGAUCCCUACAGUUCCUAACCGUGUGGAUGUGGUCCGAACUGUCCGAGUGUGUGAGUGUGUGUGGAGAAAGUGAACAGAACAUUUUACUGGAAAUUUAUUUAGCCUCACUUGAGCAAAGAAAAUUAUCUGCUUUCAAAAGAGGAUCGGGGGUAAAAACUUAACGAUCGAGACGAUCGCUAAGGAACGAAUCCAACCAUCGAACUUUUCGUAGUUUGGUUCGCAUUUUCGAACGUUCAUUUGGCAGAACCGAUUGGCAGGAGUCAUUCACUAGCUGGAGAAGGAUGCUUUCCACCAACAAACGCGCUUGCUCCAGUUCGUACACCUUUAUCGUUGCGUGGGGCACAAAAUUCUCUUCUAACAAUGGAACGAAAAUGAGAGAAAGAAACAUGCCGCCAUUUAAUGAAAUCACAAAACGUGGGAUACGUUCAAAUGACAAUAACGAAACCACAAAAUAAGGUACAUUACAUUGCGUAUCACGUCAAAAGAGCACACCGGUUUUACUUUACCAGAAGGCAGCAAAAAUGGCAAAGCAUCAAACAAACAAACAAACGCAACCGAUUUGCGAAUAAAGUACACCCACCCGCAAAGCAGUAUCAUCCCAGACGCUCCCACACACCAUUCGUUUAAGGUCGCGUUGUCUCAAACAACUGAUGUUAUGUGUUUCUACCAUUUUAGCCAAUAAUUACCACCCCGAGCCACGGCACGAGCCACGGGGCGAGCGUGGUGAUGGUUUAUCUGUUACCCUGGCGUGCUGUGCAAGAAGAAACUGGUUCAAUUCUUCCGCUUUUUUGUUUUGUUGUUGUUCGUUCGAUACUCCUUAUCGUUUCCCAUUCCACUUCCGUUUCGCAGAAACGCAUCAACGUGGCACAAUGAUAAUGUGGGACGAUGAGAUGCCUCAUCGCGUACGAAUGCGGGCGCUAGCGGGAGAAAAAGGGAACCAGCCGCAUGUCGAUUGCGAUACCGAAUCUCGGUCCCAGCGCAACAAAUCUUGUGCGUGCUUGGUAAAAAAAAACAAACAAG